UCCCGCAGCUAACCCUGCUGCCUGUCUGUGUCCUCCUCGCUCGAGGGCUCAGUACGUCCUGCAAUCACAUCCAAAACAAGCAGAAAAAGCUGGAAAUUCCAAACCCAAACUCAAGAACUCGGAUGGAACUGUUCACGCUACUGUUCACGUCCCCAAACACCUUCAAUUCUUCCUCCACAGCCCAAAACAAGAUAGCUAGAAGGAGAAGGAAGAGAGGAUCACGCCGUGCCCAACGAUGCGUCUUGGGGUGGCCGGACGGCGACGAAUUCGCCGGAGAAGGGAAGAGCAGCGACG
This 294-nucleotide long non-coding RNA is filed under the name Rosa chinensis. RNAcentral describes it as "sRNA RchiOBHm_Chr5g0053781". Lineage: Eukaryota; Viridiplantae; Streptophyta; Magnoliopsida; Rosales; Rosaceae. The record is from RNAcentral.